This 495-nucleotide ribosomal RNA is filed under the name uncultured bacterium. RNAcentral's name for it is "bacterial SSU rRNA". It matches the Rfam family "Bacterial small subunit ribosomal RNA", at positions 28 to 533 of the family's 1533-position model. The record is from RNAcentral.
GACGAACGCUGGCGGCGUGCUUAAAAACAUGCAAGUCGAACGGACUUCUCAUGAAGCUUGCGAUUGAGAAGUUAGUGGCGGACGGGUGAGUAACGCGUGGGCAACCUGCCCCUGAGCCCGGGAUAACAGUUCGAAAGGACUGCUAAGACCGGAUAUACUUGCGGUGAAGCAUUUCACUGCAAGGAAAGGGAACGCUCAGGGAUGGGCCCGCGUCCCAUUAGCUAGUUGGUGAGGUAACGGCCCACCAAGGCGACGAUGGGUAGCCGGCCUGAGAGGGUGAACGGCCACACUGGGACUGAGACACGGCCCAGACUCCUACGGGAGGCAGCAGUUGGGAAUCUUCGGCAACUGGGCGCAAGCCUGACCGAGCAACGCCGCGUGAGUGAUGAAGGUUUUCGGAUUGUAAAGCUCUGUCUUCCGGGACGAUAAUGACGGUACCGGAGGAGGAAGCCACGGCUAACUACGUGCCAGCAGCCGCGGUAAACACGGAGAGUA